UACGAAGGGGGCUAGCGUUGCUCGGAAUCACUGGGCGUAAAGCGCACGUAGGCGGCUUGUUAAGUCAGGGGUGAAAUCCUGGAGCUCAACUCCAGAACUGCCUUUGAUACUGGCAAGCUUGGAGUCCGGGAGAGGUGAGUGGAACUGCGAGUGUAGAGGUGAAAUUCGUAGAUAUUCGCAAGAACACCAGUGGCGAAGGCGGCUAACUGGUCCAGUACUGACGCUGAGGUGCGAAAGCGUGGGGAGCAAACAGG
Molecule: ribosomal RNA, 254 nt
Filed under: uncultured bacterium
Lineage: Bacteria
Description: partial 16S ribosomal RNA
Rfam family: Bacterial small subunit ribosomal RNA
Source: RNAcentral